GGGCCCGCACAAGCGGUGGAGCAUGUGGUUUAAUUCGAUGAUACGCGAGGAACCUUACCAGGGCUUAAAUGUAGUGGGACAGGUCUAGAGAUAGACCCUUCUUCGGACUCAUUACAAGGUGCUGCAUGGUUGUCGUCAGCUCGUGCCGUGAGGUGUCAGGUUAAGUCCUAUAACGAGCGCAACCCCUAUCGUUAGUUGCCAGCGAGUAAUGUCGGGAACUCUAACGAAACUGCCAGUGCAAACUGUGAGGAAGGUGGGGACGACGUCAAGUCAUCACGGCCCUUACAUCCUGGCCACACACGUGCUACAAUGGUAGUGACAGAGGCAGCCACUGGGUGACCAGGAGCG
RNAcentral lists this ribosomal RNA (348 nucleotides) under uncultured bacterium. RNAcentral's name for it is "bacterial SSU rRNA". It matches the Rfam family "Bacterial small subunit ribosomal RNA", at positions 917 to 1269 of the family's 1533-position model. The record is from RNAcentral.